Long non-coding RNA from Xenopus laevis (African clawed frog), 1333 nucleotides. RefSeq lists it as uncharacterized. NCBI's taxonomy places the organism in Eukaryota, Metazoa, Chordata, Amphibia, Anura, Pipidae. The transcript is spliced from 3 exons. The record is from RefSeq and is a predicted model, not a curated record.
GAUAUGUAACGUUUGCGAGAUGUUUCAGACCCCUACAUGGAUGUUGCAGAAGAGGGCAAAGAUGCACUUUAUAUUAUAAGCAAGCAGACAAAAGACUGCACACGGAUUUUCACACAUACCAUAAAUGUUCUCACAAGGAGCUUUCCAAUUCUAGCAAAGUCUGCUGAUGUUAUAACUGGUGGUGCAACAAUUCUGCUAUAGCAUUUGAUUCUCUGAGAUUUUGAUCAGUAUUAAAAGAUUAUCUGUGCAUGUUUCUGCAAGGAGUCUUGAACAAAAGAAGAGGAUUUGGUGAAUUAAGAAUUACACUGCCCAAAUCUUAUUUAAAAAGGAAGAGAUAAGAGGAAACCAUGCCGAAGAGGAUACCAGCUGCCAGAAUGAAAUAUUUUCUCAGAACCUGACACAUCACAUGGUAUUCUUCAAAAUAAGUGUGCAGCAAAUUAGACUGAAAAUGACACCAAGUGGCCGGCGAGAGGCAUUGAAUCCUGAGAAUCAAGUAGAAUCCAAGGAAGACCGUGAGGAACGUGUUCUGGCCAUGUUGGGUAUCAUUGGGGCAAUCUUGAAUCUACUGGUCAUCAUCUUUGUCUACAUAUACACCACUAUAUAAAGAGAUGGAGUGUAACGGUUACUGCUGUUUAACUGUAGACCGUUGUGGCAGGGAAUUGUGACCUUUAUGGAGCUAGACUACAGCCAAAGUGCAGAACAUACAUAUAAAUUAUCAAAACCUAGAACUACACACAAUCCAUCAUCAGGUGACAAUGGAUAAUACUGAUAAACGGCACCUGUGAGCUAAAACAAUAUAAAGGCGUGCCAUAAGCCUGUGAAGUCAAAUGUCUGUUUACAUACAGUACUUUACUUUACUGCAGGUUAUUCUUCCAAAAUUAACAGAGUUAAGCACAACAAGGUUCAGAAAUGCUGCGUCCUUCAAACCAUCUCAAUAUUCAAAAAGUGUCUCCAACGGAUGGAACAUAUUCUUAUAAUGACUCUAAAAUGCUCAGCGAUGAGGUUUUUUUGAGCACUGGAAAUUAUCUUCAUGGCUCUAACUUAGCCAAUAGUGCAAAAUUGAGUUCUACCAGGUCUUUGCUUGCUUUGCUUCUGUAUCAACAUAUUGUGCAUCUUUUUGAAAGUUAAAACAUUUUUGAGACACAGUGGUGUCCCUUGUCAUGCACGAAACAAAUCUUAUGUCCCACUGCAGAUAAUUUGUUGUUGGGACAACAGCAAAAAAAAAUGACAGCAAACAUUUUAAAUAGCUACUUGUACAGUGAUGCUGGAUAUCGCUGCAGGAUUUGAAGCUCUUACUAAUCCAUUCUUUAUUAAAUUCUCUUCCUUAAGAGAA